This 406-nucleotide ribosomal RNA is filed under the name uncultured bacterium. RNAcentral's name for it is "partial 16S ribosomal RNA". It matches the Rfam family "Bacterial small subunit ribosomal RNA", at positions 30 to 526 of the family's 1533-position model. The record is from RNAcentral.
AUUGAACGCUGGCGGCAGGCCUAACACAUGCAAGUCGAACGAGUGGCGGACGGGUGAGUAAUGUCUGGGAAACUGCCUGAUGGAGGGGGAUAACUACUGGAAACGGUAGCUAAUACCGCAUACCAUAAGAUGUGCCCAGAUGGGAUUAGCUAGUUGGUGGGGUAACGGCUCACCAAGGCGACGAUCCCUAGCUGGUCUGAGAGGAUGACCGGCCACACUGGAACUGAGACACGGUCCAGACUCCUACGGGAGGCAGCAGUGGGGAAUAUUGGGCAAUGGGCGAAAGCCUGAGGGAGCCAUGCCGCGUGUAUGAAGAAGGCUUUCGGGUUGUAAAGUACUUUCAUCGGGGAGGCGUUACCCAAAGAGAAAGCACCGGCUAACUCCGUGCCAGCAGCCGCGGUAAUAC